Molecule: RNA transcript, 3677 nt
Organism: Capra hircus (goat)
Lineage: Eukaryota; Metazoa; Chordata; Mammalia; Artiodactyla; Bovidae
Gene: MED17
Gene name: mediator complex subunit 17
Exons: 13
Source: RefSeq, a predicted model, not a curated record
CGGUGCAUUGUGGGAAAGCGUCCAGUGUGGCCUUUGUUUCCGGACCUGGAGCCGCGCUGAGUCUCCUCCGGCGCUUCCGCUGCGCCGUGGUCCUGGGUGCCCUGAAGCACUCCCACUCCCUCCCUCGGUUGUAGCCCGGUGCGGGCGCCGAGCCGACGCCGCCAGCAUGUCUGGGGUGCGCGCUGUGCGGAUCAGCAUCGAGUCGGCCUGCGAGAAGCAGGUCCAGGAGGUGGGCCUGGAUGGCACCGAGACGUACCUGCAGCCUCUGUCCAUGUCUCAGAACCUGGCGCGCCUGGCCCAGCGGAUCGACUUCAGCCAGGGCUCCGGCUCCGAGGAGGAGGAGGCAGCGGGCGCCGAGGGCGACGCGCAGGAUUGGGCGGGCGCGGGGUCCAGUGCUGACCAGGACGACGAGGAAGGAUUGGUGAAAUUUCAACCCUCCCUUUGGCCUUGGGAUUCAGUGAGGAACAAUUUGAGAAGUGCCCUGACAGAGAUGUGUGUUCUCUAUGAUGUUCUCAGUAUUGUUAGGGAUAAAAAAUUUAUGACUCUUGAUCCUGUCUCUCAGGAUGCACUUCCUCCAAAACAGAAUCCUCAGACGUUGCAGUUAAUAUCUAAAAAGAAGUCACUUGCUGGAGCAGCACAGAUCCUACUGAAGGGGGCAGAGAGACUGACAAAAUCAGUCACUGAAAACCAAGAAAAUAAGCUACAAAGAGACUUCAACUCUGAGCUUUUGAGAUUGAGGCAACACUGGAAGCUUAGAAAAGUUGGAGAUAAAAUUCUUGGAGAUCUGAGCUACAGAAGUGCAGGGUCUCUGUUUCCCCAUCAUGGUACAUUUGAAGUAAUAAAGAAUACAGAUAUUGAUCUAGACAAGAAGAUACCUGAAGAUUACUGUCCCCUUGAUGUCCAGAUUCCUAGUGAUUUAGAAGGGUCUGCAUAUAUCAGGGUUUCAAUUCAAAAACAGGCUCCAGACAUAGGUGACCUCGGCACAGUUAACCUCUUCAAACGACCUUUGCCUAAAUCCAAACCAGGUUCCCCACAUUGGCAGACAAAAUUAGAAGCAGCACAGAAUGUUCUCUUAUGUAAAGAAAUUUUUGCACAGCUCUCCCGGGAAGCUGUUCAAAUUAAAUCACAGAUCCCUCACAUUGUGGUGAAAAAUCAGAUUAUCUCUCAGCCCUUCCCAAGCUUGCAGUUAUCUAUUUCUUUGUGCCAUUCUUCAAAUGAUAAGAAAUCCCCAAAAUCUGCUACCGAGAAGCAAAGUCCAGAGGACCAUCUUUAUGUUCUAGAGCAUAAUUUGCAUCUACUGAUUAGAGAGUUUCAUAAACAGACAUUGAGUUCCAUUAUGAUGCCACAUCCAGCAAGUGCACCUUUCGGCCACAAGAGAAUGAGACUUUCUGGUCCUCAAGCUUUUGAUAAAAAUGAAAUUAAUUCAAUACAGUCAAGUGAAGGGCUUCUGGAAAAAAUAAUUAAACAAGCAAAGCAUAUAUUUCUGAGGAGUAGGACUGCUGCAACCAUUGACAGCUUAGCAAGUCGCAUUGAAGAUCCUCAGAUACAGGCUCAUUGGUCAAAUAUUAAUGAUGUUUAUGAAUCUAGUGUGAAAGUCUUAAUCACAUCACAAGGCUAUGAACAGAUAUGCAAGUCCAUUCAGCUGCAGUUGAAUAUUGGAGUUGAGCAGAUCCGGGUCGUGCACAGAGAUGGGAGGGUGAUCACACUGUCUCAUGAGGGCCAGGAGCUUCAGGACUUCCUUCUGUCCCAGAUGUCACAGCAUCAGGUGCACGCAGUUCAGCAGCUAGCCAAGGUUAUGGGCUGGCAGGUCCUGAGCUUCAGUAAUCACGUGGGACUGGGGCCUGUAGAGAGCAUUGGCAAUGCCUCUGCCAUAACCGUGGCCUCCCCAAACGGUGACUAUGCUAUCUCAGGUCUCUGCAUUUUCCCAGGAAAAGUACUAAUGGAUUAAUGGAAUACAUUUUGCAAAGAACAGAUAACAUGAAUUUAGAAAUAGUGCCCCAGCCCUAAACUGUGUCUGAAGAACUUCCCUUAAUAAGAAAUUUGGGCUUAUGGGCCUUUUGGUGCCACUAAAAAUAAUCUUAAAAGGACCAGUCUUGGAGUAGAACGGAUGAGAAUAUGUGCAUAAUUACCACCCACUCACGUAUACUUUGUCGGAAUGGACAGGGGUGAUCAAAGGCCUUCCUUGCCCCAUUGUUCUAAGGCACGUUCAGAGAUCAGUCACUUCCUGUCUGAGAGGAGUGGAAGCUAAGGUAAGCAUGGGAAAGUGGCUGGCAGAUCAGUUGUGGUGGUGGCAGUGGUUCAACCUGAGUUACCCACAGUUGGAAGGAUGUGCUGUGGCCUUUGGGAGAGAGGUUGGAGAAAACCAAUUAGCCCCUCACCAAGUGUUUAACAGUUGGCGAAAGAGCUGUGUUGGAAUGUUGGCUCUACUUCUGCUUAGCUGUGUGCUUGGCAGUGUUAUCCUCUCUGAAGCUGUUUCCAUACAAUAGGAAGAAAGAAUGCCUCUGCUAACCACAAGGCUGGUUCAAAGGCUUAGUUAUGGUUGGUGAUAGAUACUAAAUUCUAAGAUGUGCAUAUGUAAAACAUGAAGCAACUGUAAAAACCCAGCUAAUUAUGAGGCAGGAGGCAGAUGCACCCCCCUCCCCUGCCAGGGUAAAGCAAUUGGAGAUUCAUUCCCUAUUGACUGAAACUCCCAAGAUGAGAGCAGCUCGAUGAUUAAGGGAGGAGGCUGGGCCUUGCCCAGACCAUAUACUUCUUGUUCACAAAGUCAGAAGACUUCCCCGGACCACACGUGCACAGAAAGGCUCCUUGCAAGCCAAGGGGGUUACAAUGUCAAGGGAUGCUCUGCCCGAAUGCCUUUGUGGUAGGAUCCAUCUUGGCUAAGAGAUGUGUACACACAAAAGGAUCCUGAGAUAUACCAGAUAGGGACUGUGAAUGAGGCAAAUCAAAAUGAUUGGCCAAGGGAGAAUUGUAAGAAAUACCCCGUAUAAGUGAUUUAAGCUGCCAUGAGGGCGCAACUCAGGGGCUCGCCAUUUGAGUCUGCCUGUGUGUCUAUCCACUGGUACUGUACUCUUUUUCCUCCUAAUAACUACUUCAUUUGCUUCACUGCUUUCUUUGUGGAAAUUCCUUUCUGCAAAGCCUCAGGGCCAGAGCCCUUGUCACUGACCACUGAUCUAGUGGCUAGGUUAGGUGCUUGCACUGCUGCGACCCAGCCUUGACCUCUGGCUGGGAACCCAAGCCCUGCUUCAAGCCAUUGCAGGCCGAGGCCACCCAAAAGCAGUUAGAAGUUGGAAAAAAAAUUUUAUUCAUCAGUAGGAGAAGGUGUUUUAGAUGUUUUAGCAUGUCCUGUAUAAAAGAUUUCUAGAUGGUGAAGAUAGUGAGCACAUUUAUGGGUGGAAGAUUUAGUUUUUCCAUGUCCAUUGUUAAAGCCGAUCUCUCUGGCUGACCUCUCCUCACACCCUCUGCCUUGGUCUUUCAUUGAGUUUCACUUUCCUACUCCUGCUCUUUGUUGAUGCCUUAAAUACUUGGAGCUAAAGUCAGCUCUCUUUAUAUCUCACUUUAGGAUGGGAAUGAAAAACAGUUCACCACAGAGAAAGCUCUCAUGUUUUCAAAGCAGCAAGCACAGUAACACAGUUCAGUUCACUUCAGUUGAGUCCAACUCUUUGCAGCCCCAUGGAUUG